GUCGAGAAUCUUCCGCAAUGCGCGAAAGCGUGACGGAGCGACACCGCGUGAUGGAUGAAGUCCUUCGGGGCGUCAACAUCUUUUAUAAAGGAGGAAAUUUUUGACGUUACUUUAUGAAUAAGGGGCUCCCAAUCUCGUGCCAGCAGGAGCGGUAAUACGAGAGCCUCAAGCGUUAUCCGGAAUCAUUGGGCGUAAAGGGUGCGUAGGUGGUUUGAUUAGUCUCCCGUUAAAACUUCGAGCUUAACUCGAAAAGAGCGGGGGAAACGGUCAAACUAGAGUAUGUGAGAGGUGUGUGGAACUCAUGGUUUAGGGGUGAAAUCCGUUGAUAUCAUGGGGAACACCAAAAGCGAAGGCAGCACACUGGCACAUCACUGACACUGAGGCACGAAACCUAAGGUAGCGAAUGGGAUUAGAUACCCGUGUAGUCC
RNAcentral lists this ribosomal RNA (428 nucleotides) under uncultured bacterium. RNAcentral's name for it is "bacterial SSU rRNA". It matches the Rfam family "Bacterial small subunit ribosomal RNA", at positions 354 to 796 of the family's 1533-position model. The record is from RNAcentral.